Molecule: long non-coding RNA, 783 nt
Filed under: Mus musculus (house mouse)
Lineage: Eukaryota; Metazoa; Chordata; Mammalia; Rodentia; Muridae
Description: long non-coding RNA chr15:92771036-92771819
Source: RNAcentral
UUAGAGAGCACGCUACCAGUUUCGGUAGAGUAUCAUUGCCUCGUUCAAUGUGGCAUUUUUAUAUAUAUUUUGUGACUUUACAGUUCAAAUUUUUUGUAAGCAAAAAAAAAAAAAAUACCUGGUACUUUUUAAUUUGUUUUUCAUAGGCUGGUACCUUCUUUGGCUAAUAUCUUUCCUUAACUUGUGAUAUAUUCAUAGCACACAUUUAUAGAAAAAAAAAGAAAACAAUGAAAAAACAAAAGGAAAGAAAAAAUGAACAAAAAAACUAAGGACCUAAUUAAUUCCCUAUUUUAAUGUAUCUAUUGUAAGUUAAAAAUCUGGAUUUAUUUCUCUAAUUUUCUUAUUUCCUAUUUUAAUAGUUCAAUGCCAAAACAUGUCUAUGCUUUACCUCCUGGCACAGUGUAUGCUAAAUCAGAUCUACUACUAAACCACAUGCCGUAUCUUGUCUUAUACAUGAAGCAGCACCCCUUGAACAUCUUCCUGUACAUUUAACACAUAAAUGGCAAUUGUCUUUGUCUCAGUAAAGUGUGGGUGGACAAUCUUCCCGUGAUAUGUAGUGACACUGGUCAUGUAGCUAGAUAAUUGUGGUAAUUUGUGACAAUAAAAAAAAUAAAUAAAUUAUUGAUUAUCCUUAUGAAAAGUUAACCAAGGACUGUUAUUUUCUUUGCCCACGGUGGUUAACAUGUUUGGUUGUAUGUGUACUAUUAGAAGACUCUUAAUUGUGAAUUUAUAAAUUGUGCAGUUUUUCUAUCACCUUUUUCCUUUUCCAAUAAAGUUGUUUCG